CGCCACUCCUUUCCGCCCGCGGGCGCUCAGCGGAGGACGGCGUGGGGGUGGGGGUGGCCUGUACCCGGAACCCAGUGCAUGAAGCGCGGGCGCCCAGCCGGAAGGCGAAGCGGAGCCCGGCGCCGAGAGGUUCGGUUCCGUCCAGUCGCGCUGUGGAGGGACAGGGCGUCCCCAGCCGCCUGCCUUUGCCACUAGGAUUCUGAUGUCCCGUUCACCUCAGCGCUGUGGAGACGACACGGGCUUGUUCCCUGUCAAGAAGGUGGACUUGAACUUUUAGAAGGGGCGAGGAAUAGAGCUGUGAAGUGGGCAUCCCUGGAAUUUUUAAAAGGUUGACACCAGUAUUUGAGCUAUGGAAUCAGACCUUUUUUUUGGAUCCCCUAUGCAGUUUUUAAAAAGGAGGCUUAUGUGAAAGGGUUGGGAUGCCUGAAUAUUUGAAUAGACAAGGUAAGCAUUCAAAUUAACUCCCAAGAUCAUUGUGGGAAUUCAGUCAUUUAUUAUGAAAACCAAUUUUAGUUAUUUUACACUUUUUUGGGGGGG
This 537-nucleotide long non-coding RNA is filed under the name Heterocephalus glaber (naked mole-rat). RNAcentral's name for it is "lncRNA (ENSHGLG00100048347.1)". Lineage: Eukaryota; Metazoa; Chordata; Mammalia; Rodentia; Bathyergidae. The record is from RNAcentral.